GACGAACGCUGGCGGCGUGCUUAACACAUGCAAGUCGAACGGUGAACUCCUUCGUAGGGGCUCAGUGGCGAACGGGUGAUUAACACGUGGGCAUCCUGCCCCCGGCUCUGGGCUAACUCCAAGAAAUUGGGGCUAAUACCGGAUGUUCCCCGCUUCCCGCAUGGGUGGUGGUGAAAAGGGUUUCCGGCUGGGGAUGGGCCCGCGGCCUCUCAGCUUGUUGGUGGGGUAGUGGCCUACCAGGGCGACGACGGGUAGCCGGCCUGAGAGGGUGACCGGCCACGCUGGGACUGGGACACGGCCCAGACUACAACGGGAGGCAGCAGUGGGGAAGAGUGCGCAAGGGGCGGAAGCCUGACGCAGCGACGCCGCGUGGGGGAUGACAGCCUUCGGGUUGUAAACCUCUUUCAGCAGGGACGAAGCGCAAGUGACGGUACCUGCAGAAGAAGCACCGGCCAACUACGUG
This 463-nucleotide ribosomal RNA is filed under the name uncultured bacterium. RNAcentral describes it as "partial 16S ribosomal RNA". It matches the Rfam family "Bacterial small subunit ribosomal RNA", at positions 28 to 507 of the family's 1533-position model. The record is from RNAcentral.